RNAcentral lists this ribosomal RNA (254 nucleotides) under uncultured bacterium. Its description in RNAcentral is "partial 16S ribosomal RNA". It matches the Rfam family "Bacterial small subunit ribosomal RNA", at positions 524 to 776 of the family's 1533-position model. The record is from RNAcentral.
UACGUAGGGUCCAAGCGUUAUCCGGAAUCACUGGGCGUAAAGCGUGCGUAGGCGGACAUUUAAGUGUAAUGCGAAAUCCUGUGGCUCAACCAUAUGGACUGUAUUGCAUACUGGAUGUCUGGAGGAAUGCAGAGGCAAGUGGAAUUACUGGUGUAGCAGUGAAAUGCGUAGAUAUCAGUAGGAACACCAAUGGCGAAGGCAGCUUGCUGGGCAUUUUCUGACGCUAAGGCACGAAAGCGUGGGGAGCGAACAGG